This is a non-coding RNA of Rhopilema esculentum, 2854 nucleotides long. NCBI's taxonomy places the organism in Eukaryota, Metazoa, Cnidaria, Scyphozoa, Rhizostomeae, Rhizostomatidae. The record is from RefSeq and is a predicted model, not a curated record.
GCUUCAAUAGUUUUCUCUUUUUCAGACUUUUAUUAUAUCUUAGGAUCUCUCAGAUAUUUCUGAAUCUUGAUGGAUCUAGAACUUACUCUGGCCUCACUUUCUGGCAAAGUAUUUCGAAUUUGCUAAGCGAGUAAAAUUAUUGUCUGCUUUUCCUCUGGCUAAACCUUGACCGAACUUAAUAUCAAAAGAGCUUAGCAACAUAUCUGCGGCUGAUUUAUUCAAAGGAAGGCAGCUUAUUUGUUUCCUGAAUGGUUUCAUCAACGCUUAGAACUCUUUAGGGCAAGAUUCAAAUCAAACCUAUAAAUCCAGAACAAAUCGAUUGGACCACGACUGGGUAUCACCCAAUUUUCCAAAGCCAUCAUUUUCUCGCGUUACAAUAUUCCGUUAUAAGGACUGCGCCUCUUGCUUCUAAGUGGAGGAGCUGAAGGAUAAAAAGUUUGGUCGUCAAUUAAAAGCAAUAUGUCCAAUUCAAAAGGGUAUUUCAUGGGUUUACAGCCACAAUAUUUAAAAUUGUGAAAGGCAGUACAAGAACAGAGAGAGGCAGUACAAGAAGGGCCGCCGCUAGGCUGGACGGGCUUCGGGGCCUCGGGGCAGAAGCCUUGACGAGCCCCAAUUUUGGCCGAAGACGCAAACAAUUUUGGGCUCCGCCCUGUUUUCGUUCCUGGAAACGCCCUUGUUCUUAAGUUGAACGUUAAAAUGGGCUUUACACCCUGCUUUGUAGCGUGGUUCAUCUUUUGACAUCUUUUUUAAAUCUUUCUCACGAACCUUUGGCAUUUAUACAAAGUAAGUAUGAAUGCAGUGUUACCAAUUUGCUCAAAAAAAUUAUCUACGUGGCAAUUAAAAGUGAGUCAACUUCUGAGUCCUUCUCGCUCCGAUAAAUUUUUUUCAAACUGUUACCCAUUAAUUUGCAAAACCUUUACAGUACCACGUACGAGCUUUUUAAGACAACAACCUCGAUAGCAUCAUUAAAGUCAAUCUUUUUAGCAACAUCACUCUCAAUACCUCAGCACAGCCAUGUCAUUCAUUAAGACAUCAUUCCUGAGUUUGAGUACGUCGAAAAGAGGUUUCAAACAUAAAUAACACAUAAAUAAUUUCAAAUACUUUGAUAUUUAUUUUCAGGCCUUUAGGAGCCCUUACAGGAAAAAUCCUUACCCAUAUGAUGCAUAAGAAAAAUAUACCUUGUUUCAUAAUCGUUAGAAAAGAAAAAAAUUGCGUUAAUCUAAAGCAUGGGUCCCUUUCGGGGCAUAGCCCCUUUUCGUUGCUACAAAGAAAUUCAUUCCUUCCAUUUGACCGGGGUAUAUGUCGUCGUUUCCCAAACACCACUUCCUGAAAGUAAGCACCUUAAUAACACAAAAACCCAUGCAUUUACCCAACCUUCGGGAGCUAUUCAUUCUCCAAGAAAAAUACCAGGCAAUCUUUGUGAAACGACUUUGUCCUCUACCUUUAGCAAAACUCAAGUUGUUUGGUAGGGCAUUUGGAUUGCUUUGUUGAAAUAAACAAUAAAAAAUAAGUUUCAUGGUUGUCUUAUCCCUUUGAAGGCGGCUUGAAAAUUGCCAAGUUUGUUGCGUUGAGAAAAAUGCGGGAAGUCUUCUCAGGGCAACCUCCACAGUCAUGUGCUUGCGUUUCUGAUUGGCUUAUUUCGAUCCACAACUGGGUAUAUAUAUUUCUUAGCGUAGAGUUUUAAAUAUACGUUCUGACGUUUUAAACUCGGAAGAGUGUCAGACGAAAAGCUUUAGUUUACUCAAAUGUUUGCUUUUUUUAAAGCCAUCUUGAAAGUCUUCUGUUCAAUGAACCAUCCCUCUCCCUUGGAUUAUGAGUCUCUGUUGAAUUUCAUUUUCUAUCAAAAACCUAAUUACAAAUAACUUUUGUAUACUUCAAGCAGCUUAUGACAGAAGUUACAAACAGAACAAAACGAAGUCAACAAAAUCACUAUAACUAAAAUUCGGAUAUGCAAAUCAACCCCGAACAAAAGAUCCACACCGCCCCGCGAUUCAAACGGUUUUGAGCCAAAACCGCUCGGCCGAUUUUCAAAAUUCUUUUUUCCACUGAAUCCUAGAUCCUCGAGGCUCAAACAUAAGGUCCGCUUUUUCGUAUUUUCGCUUCCGUUUUUGAGAUAUUAACGGUUUUCUCCCGGGUUCGUUCCAAAAUCUCGCGAUCACGAUUAGUGCUCUCCGUGGUCUUUGUCCCGUGUUUCUAUAGGUUCUUUCUCUCUCUUUUCUCUUGCUCUCUACAAAAGAUUUCAAAACUCCUUCCAACAGCAACCCUUCAAUUUGAACGGAGGCUUUUCAAAUUCGUUUCGCUUUCCACAAAGAAUCUACUGUGUGCCGAUAAUUUCGGUGACUUGGAAUUGGAUGAUAAUAAAUCUUCGUGCACUGCUGCUUGGCAUUCCUUUUCGAACUCGAAGCGGUCGCCGACGGUCGUGUCGUGUGUUACAGCUACAGCUACAGCUACAGCUCCAGUAGUCAAUCGUGCUGGGUGUUCUCGAUCUCAGUAGCUACGUACGGUACACGCGCUGCUACCUGAUAUUUGGUUUUGCGAUGGCUGCUGGCUGUUCCGGUUCUAAACUGGCAUCAGAAUCGAUGGCAUGCGAAUACAAAUAAACGAUCGGAUUCGCUGACUUUUUGGUACAACAACUAGAUCAAAGAGCAUUUCAAGCAAUAAUUACGACGCUGACGUGAUUCUCGGACCUUCGAAACGAAAUUGAUGGCAUUUAUGCUGGCGUUAAAUCAAAUGAUGAAACAAGAAAAAACUUGACUGUGGAGAAAAGGACUAAAGUUAUAUAGAUCAGCUGUUGUCCGUAAAUUGUAUUUUGUUAAUUUGUUGUUAGAGUAAGAUUCCUUUCUGAUGCACGAAA